GUGGGUAACCUGCCUUAUAGUGGGGGAUAGCCUUUCGAAAGGAAGAUUAAUACCGCAUGAGAUUGUAGUAUCGCAUGAUAUAGCAAUUAAAGGAGCAAUUCGCUAUAAGAUGGACCCGCGUCGCAUUAGCUAGUUGGUGAGGUAAUGGCUCACCAAGGCGACGAUGCGUAGCCGACCUGAGAGGGUGAUCGGCCACAUUGGGACUGAGACACGGCCCAGACUCCUACGGGAGGCAGCAUG
RNAcentral lists this ribosomal RNA (240 nucleotides) under uncultured bacterium. RNAcentral describes it as "partial 16S ribosomal RNA". It matches the Rfam family "Bacterial small subunit ribosomal RNA", at positions 117 to 353 of the family's 1533-position model. The record is from RNAcentral.